GACGAAGAACGUAGUGAAAUGCGAUAAGUAGUGUGAAUUGCAGAAUUCAGUGAAUCAUCGAAUCUUUGAACGCACAUUGCGGCCAUAGGUAUUCCUUUGGCCAUGCCUGUUCGAGCGUCAUUUACACCCUCAAGCCUAGCUUGGUGUUGGGCGUCUGUCCCGCCGUUCUCGCGCGCGGACUCGCCUCAAAGUCAUUGGCGGCGGUCGUGCCGGCCCCCUCGCGCAGCACAUUUGCGCUUCUCGGAGGCCCGGCGGAUCCGCGCUCCAGCAAGACCUUUCACGACUUGACCUCGGAUCAGGUAGGGAUACCCGCUGAACUUAAGCAUAUCAAUAAGCGGAGGA
RNAcentral lists this unclassified non-coding RNA (342 nucleotides) under soil metagenome. RNAcentral's name for it is "partial contains 5.8S ribosomal RNA, internal transcribed spacer 2, and large subunit ribosomal RNA". The stretch from base 1 to 120 matches the Rfam family "5.8S ribosomal RNA", at positions 35 to 154 of the family's 154-position model. The record is from RNAcentral.